AUCUGAUUCUUUAAUAGUUUAAUGUUAAUUUAUUCAGAUGCUUCUAGAAGUCCUAUGAUAGCACAAUGAUCAAACAUCAAACAAGGUGCCGAUCAUUUCCACACAGUAUUGAUAAGGUGCCAAUCAUUUCCACACAGUAUUGAUAAGGUGCCGAUCAUUUCCAUACAGUAUUGAUAAGGUGCCGAUCAUUUCCACACAGUAUUGAUAAGGUGCCGAUCAUUUCCAUACAGUAUUGAUAAGGUGCUGAUCAUUUUCCACACAGUAUUGAUAAGGUGCCGAUCAUUUCCAUACAGUAUUGAUAAGGUGCCGAUCAUUUCCACACAGUAUUGAUAAGGUGUCGAUCAUUUCCACACAGUAUUGAUAAGGUGCCGAUCAUUUCCAUACAGUAUUGAUAAGGUGCUGAUCAUUUCCACACAGUAUUGAUAAGGUGCUGAUCAUUUCCACACAGUAUUGAUAAGGUGCUGAUCAUUUCCACACAGUAUUGAUAAGGUGCUGAUCAUUUCCAUACAGUAUUGAUAAGGUGCUGAUCAUUUCCAUACAGUAUUGAUAAGGUGCCGAUCAUUUCCACACAGUAUUGAUAAGGUGCUGAUCAUUUCCACACAGUAUUGAUAAGGUGCUGAUCAUUUCCAUACAGUAUUGAUAAGGUGCCGAUCAUUUCCAUACAGUAUUGAUAAGGUGCUGAUCAUUUCCACACAGUAUUGAUAAGGUGCUGAUCAUUUCCACACAGUAUUGAUAAGGUGCUGAUCAUUUCCAUACAGUAUUGAUAAGGUGCCGAUCAUUUCCAUACAGUAUUGAUAAGGUGCCGAUCAUUUCCAUACAGUAUUGAUAAGGUGCCGAUCAUUUCCAUACAGUAUUGAUAAGGUGCUGAUCAUUUCCACACAGUAUUGAUAAUGUGCUGAUCAUUUCCAUACAGUAUUGAUAAGGUGCCGAUCAUUUCCAUACAGUAUUGAUAAGGUGCCGAUCAUUUCCAUACAGUAUUGAUAAGGUGCCGAUCAUUUCCAUACAGUAUUGAUAAGGUGCCGAUCAUUUCCAUACAGUAUUGAUAAGGUGCCGAUCAUUUCCAUACAGUAUUGAUAAGGUGCCGAUCAUUUCCACACAGUAUUGAUAAUGUGCUGAUCAUUUCCAUACAGUAUUGAUAAGGUGCUGAUCAUUAAGUGUCACACAGUAUUGAUAAGGGAAAGGUCAAAUGGGAUACCUAGUGAGUUGGAAAGGUAAAAGGGGAUACCUAGUCAGUACAACCUUAAUGCACCUCAACUGAAAUGUGUAUAUCCGUAUUUAACCUCUGAAUCAGGUGUGGGGGGCUGCAUUAAUCAACAUUCACGUCUUCAGUGGGUUAGCUGCCUUGUUCAGGGAACAGUGGGGUUAGCUGCCUUGUUCAGGGGAACAGUGGGGUUAACUGCCUUGUUCAGGGGAACAGUGGGGUUAACUGCCUUGUUCAGGGGAACAGUGGGGUUAACUGCCUUGUUCAGGGGAACAGUGGGGUUAGCUGCCUUGUUCAGGGGAACAGUGGGGUUAGCUGCCUUGUUCAGGGGAACAGUGGGGUUAACUGCCUUGUUCAGGGAACAGUGGGGUUAACUGCCUUG
Long non-coding RNA from Oncorhynchus keta (chum salmon), 1583 nucleotides. RefSeq lists it as uncharacterized. The transcript is spliced from 3 exons. Lineage: Eukaryota; Metazoa; Chordata; Actinopteri; Salmoniformes; Salmonidae. The record is from RefSeq and is a predicted model, not a curated record.